CUAGGUGGUUCUGAGGAGGAUGAUCAGCACACUGGAACUGAGACACGGUCAGACUCUACGGAGGCAGCAGUGGGAUAUGCACAAUGGGCGCAAGCUGAUGCAGCAUGCCGCGUGUGUGAAGAAGGCCUUCGGGUGUAAAGCACUUUCAGUCGUGAGGAAGGUAGUGUAGUUAAUAGCUGCAUUCAUUGACGUUAGCGACAGAAGAAGCACCGGCUAACUCCGUGCCAGCAGCCGCGGUAAUACGGAGGGUGCGAGCGUUAAUCGGAAUUACUGGGCGUAAAGCGCAUGCAGGUGGUUUGUUAAGUCAGAUGUGAAAGCCCGGGGCUCAACCUCGGAAUUGCAUUUGAAACUGGCAGACUAGAGUACUGUAGAGGGGGGUAGAAUUUCAGGUGUAGCGGUGAAAUGCGUAGAGAUCUGAAGGAAUACCGGUGGCGAAGGCGGCCCCCUGGACAGAUACUGACACUCAGAUGCGAAAGCGUGGGGAGCAAACAGGAUUAGAUACCCUGGUAGUCCACGCCGUAAACGAUGUCUACUUGGAGGUUGUGGCCUUGAGCCGUGGCUUUCGGAGCUAACGCGUUAAGUAGACCGCCUGGGGAGUACGGUCGCAAGAUUAAAACUCAAAUGAAUUGACGGGGGCCCGCACAAGCGGUGGAGCAUGUGGUUUAAUUCGAUGCAACGCGAAGAACCUUACCUACUCUUGACAUCCAGAGAACUUUCCAGAGAUGGAUUGGUGCCUUCGGGAACUCUGAGACAGGUGCUGCAUGGCUGUCGUCAGCUCGUGUUGUGAAAUGUUGGGUUAAGUCCCGCAACGAGCGCAACCCUUAUCCUUGUUUGCCAGCGAGUAAUGUCGGGAACUCCAGGGAGACUGCCGGUGAUAAACCGGAGGAAGGUGGGGACGACGUCAAGUCAUCAUGGCCCUUACGAGUAGGGCUACACACGUGCUACAAUGGCGCAUACAGAGGGCGGCCAACUUGCGAAAGUGAGCGAAUCCCAAAAAGUGCGUCGUAGUCCGGAUUGGAGUCUGCAACUCGACUCCAUGAAGUCGGAAUCGCUAGUAAUCGUGGAUCAGAAUGCCACGGUGAAUACGUUCCCGGGCCUUGUACACACCGCCCGUCACACCAUGGGAGUGGGCUGCAAAAGAAGUAGGUAGUUUAACCUUCGGGGGGACGCUACCACUUGGUGCUGC
Molecule: ribosomal RNA, 1186 nt
Filed under: Vibrio parahaemolyticus
Lineage: Bacteria; Pseudomonadati; Pseudomonadota; Gammaproteobacteria; Vibrionales; Vibrionaceae
Description: bacterial SSU rRNA
Rfam family: Bacterial small subunit ribosomal RNA
Source: RNAcentral